RNAcentral lists this ribosomal RNA (253 nucleotides) under uncultured bacterium. Its description in RNAcentral is "partial 16S ribosomal RNA". It matches the Rfam family "Archaeal small subunit ribosomal RNA", at positions 474 to 727 of the family's 1478-position model. The record is from RNAcentral.
UACCAGCACCCCGAGUGGUCGGGACGAUUAUUGGGCCUAAAGCAUCCGUAGCCGGUUUUACAAGUCCUCCGUUAAAUCCGGCUGCUUAACAGAUGGGCUGCGGAGGAUACUAUAAGACUAGGAGGCAGGAGAGGCAAGCGGUACUCAGUGGGUAGGGGUAAAAUCCGUUGAUCCAUUGAAGACCACCAGUGGCGAAGGCGGCUUGCCAGAAUGCGCUCGACGGUGAGGGAUGAAAGCUGGGGGAGCAAACCGG